This 887-nucleotide long non-coding RNA is filed under the name Sorghum bicolor (sorghum). RNAcentral's name for it is "long non-coding RNA (SBIC_LNC000385)". The record is from RNAcentral. Lineage: Eukaryota; Viridiplantae; Streptophyta; Magnoliopsida; Poales; Poaceae.
CAAGCAUAAUUUUCUGUCCUGAAUUUGAUUCACAAUGUAACAACAAUAUUGAGAGUAUUUUUUUCUCAAAUACGCAAAAGAUUUGCGUCUUAUUAUAAUUGUUAUCAAUAAUAAGCAAAGGAGUGGAACAAUAUGGUUCAGGCAGCUCGUUCAAAGUAGAGAGCAUCCCCGUGACACUGAUUGAAGAUUUGUCGCACUCCACGGACUCCAGGUCCAUGCCAGUCUGAUUGUCUGAUUCUGGUCUGCUUUUUCUUUUGAGUACCACUGUAGUAGACUUCAACGGAAUAUUUAUGCAGCUAGAGAGAACCAUAACGAGUUCAGGUCGAGCAUCCAACAUGACACUCUCAUCUCGCCUGGUUGCCGGCGUUCUCCUGGUCCUGGCAUUAGCUCUGGUCUCUUCCAGUUCCAGCGCAGAGGAGAGGAGCACCGGGCGCGCUGCCAGUGCCUCGGACCAUGAUCAGACGUCGGAAGCUACGGUGCCCCUGUUGAGGCCUCUUGGCUUGAGGACACCGGUGGCAGCUCCGCCCCCGCCGAGGUCGGCAACUCCACGGGCGAGUAUAAGGCCGUAUCAUCGGCCGUCACCGCCGCCGCCAUGGUCGUAGCUGUAGGCUGUACCCUCUAGGGCCUCUAGGUCUAGAGAUACGUGAGAGAAAAUGGUUUCUUGGCGUUGGUGUCCCAUUUCCUGUAAGCCUGGUGUAGUGUUCUUCAGUUUUCAACCAACUGUGUAACUGUGUAAGCUCUAUCUGUCAUGGAUUCAGUCAGGUAUUUGGGCGCUUUCAGCACCAAACACCACCGUUUGCUGAUUAAUAUUUUCCUUCUUGUCUGCUCAACAUUUCUGUGCCAUUCUUUUCGUUGGAUGUCCUGGAAUUUCUUGUAUGUUUCCAAGA